Molecule: ribosomal RNA, 463 nt
Filed under: uncultured bacterium
Lineage: Bacteria
Description: partial 16S ribosomal RNA
Source: RNAcentral
GACUACCGGGGUAUCUAAUCCUGUUUGCUACCCACGCUUUCGCGCCUCAGCGUCAGAAGUGGACCAGGGACUCGCCUUCGCCACCGGUGUUCCUCUCGAUAUCUACGCAUUUCACCGCUCCACCGAGAGUUCCAGUCCCCCCUACCACCCUCUAGAACGGCAGUCCGGCGUGCACUUCCCUGGUUGAGCCAGGGGCUUUCACACGCCGCUUACCGAACCGCCUACGCGCCCUUUAUGCCCAGUGAAUCCGAACAACGCUUGCCACCUUCGUCUUACCGCAGCUGCUGGCACGAAGUUAGCUGUGGCUUCCUCCAGACCCUUAGUCAACACCGGUUUGUUACGACCGAUGCAUUCUUAAGUCUCGACAGGAGUUUACAACCCGAAGGCCUUCUUCCUCCACGCGGCGUCGCUCCGUCAGGCUUUCGCCCAUUGCGGAAAAUUCUCGACUGCAGCCCCCCGUAGG